Molecule: ribosomal RNA, 514 nt
Filed under: Ophioctenella sp. SP-2014
Lineage: Eukaryota; Metazoa; Echinodermata; Ophiuroidea; Amphilepidida; Ophiuridae
Description: partial 16S ribosomal RNA
Rfam family: Bacterial large subunit ribosomal RNA
Source: RNAcentral
AAACAUCGCCCCUGGAGAAAUUGAUCAAGGGGUCCUGCCUGCCCAGUGGUCUUACGAGAUUAAACGGCUGCGGUACUCUGACCGUGCAAAGGUAGCAUAAUCAUUUGCCUGUUAAUUCCAGGCUGGAAUCAACGGCUAGACGAAGAAAAUACUGUCUUUCUUUAUAAAUUUUGAAUUUAGUAUUUUGGUGAAGAAACCAAAAUAAGAAAGUGGGACGAGAAGACCCUAUUGAGCUUUAACCAAAAUAUUUGUUUAGAAAACAUGUUGAGGUUUGGGUUGGGGCAACUGACUUUUUAAUAAAACAAAAUCAACAAAAAAUGAAUUAAAUCAAUAAGAAAGACCCACAAAUUUUGUGGUAAUUAGAAAAAGUUACCAUAGGGAUAACAGCGUAAUUUUCUUUGAGAGUACACAUUGACAAGAAAGUUUGCGACCUCGAUGUUGGAUCAAGAUGUCCUGAAGGUGCAGCCGCUUUCAAGGGUGGGUUUGUUCAACCCAUAAAAUCUUACGCGAUCUG